This is a long non-coding RNA of Cavia porcellus (domestic guinea pig), 1923 nucleotides long. RefSeq lists it as uncharacterized. NCBI's taxonomy places the organism in Eukaryota, Metazoa, Chordata, Mammalia, Rodentia, Caviidae. The record is from RefSeq and is a predicted model, not a curated record. The transcript has 3 exons.
GCGCGACGCACAGGCGCAGUACCGACCGUCUUUACCUAAAGAGCUCUCGGUGGGCUCUGCAGAGGGACUAGGGGAGAAGGGGUCCGCGAGGGCGCAGGCAGGUUCAGCAGGGGUAUUUGACCGGGUUGCGUGAUCACUGAGGCCUGGCCGAGGGAUUCUCCCAUAAGUGGGUCCCCGGGCGUGGGGCGGGGCUGGCGAGUCCCCUGGCCUGUCUGUAAUUACCUGGUCACCUGCUAGAGGAAUCUAAAGGCCACCUGAGCCCCGAGGUCAGGUCCGAGCUUCCCGGAGGUGGACUCCUAGCAAAGGAGGGGAAAGGACCAAAACCUCGGCUUUAUCUUACCGGCAGAGAGGGGAUGCGGCCCUGGGGGCCCCGCGUCCUUGAAGGGUGCAGCCGGUGGGGCCACACAGCUGACCAUAUCGAGCUGGGGCGGUCAGUGUAACCAGGCCACCCAGCUUCUGUCCCUUCCCCGUCUGUGUGGCUGUCACUGUGGGUAGCGCUAGGACCUCAGCGGGGCAGAAGGUCGCGGGAUGCAGGGACUCUUGAGGGAUCCCCAGCCCCACGGGGUCUCCAUUGGGGUGAUUCUGCCCCUCAAAGGUGGGCCUGCUGUCUCACCCAGUCCAAAAAUGAAAUCGUGAACAAGGAGCCAGUGAAGGGGUGCGUUUAUUGGAUGUAGAAAUGAAGGCUCACUGUAGCUGGGCGUGAGGCUCCAGAAACGCGCCACCAGGGGGCGCUCUUUGCCUAGACUCUUACAGAUAAGCAAGCCCCGCAAUUUGCUCAGCGCCAGUGAUGGCUAUCACAGGCAGGCCGACGGGUUUAAAGUAACCGGUUAGGACUUAGGUUUUCUCGAAAGAGAACCAGUUUCUCAGCAUCAUUCAAUUUCUGGAAACCCAGUGGAUGUCGGGAGAUGUUUACUUGGUACCUUCCAUCCAGCGACUGUUCAAUGAAGAAUUGAGAGACCAGCCAGUCUCAGAGUAACCAGUGAAGUGUCACACUGAUGAGUGUGAGCGUCACAGAAUUGUCUCUGUGAACACACAGUGCAGGCACACAAGCCUGCAUGCCUGCAUGAGGAGCGUGCUUCAGACCACUCUUAAGGCAGAGAAGCAGACACGUGUGACCCUGGCACAUGGGGGCUGAGGCAGGAGGAACAUGGUUGCUGGGAAUUCAAGGACACUCUGGGUUACACGGUUUUAGAAUGACACUGAUUAGCCAGACAUGAUGUCACAUGCCUGUAAUUUCAGCACUUGGGAGGCUGAGGCAGGAGGAUCAUGGAAAGUUUGAAGUCGGCCUGGACUACAUAAUGAGUUCAAUGACACCCUGGACGAUCUAGCAUGACCGUGUCUCAAAAACAAAAACAAAGGCUCCAGCUGCCCCAGGGGGAGAACCACCAGCGUCUCCUGAGAUCUGCAUCACGUUGGAACUUAGAGGGCUGGGAAACCAAGCAAGCAGCCUGCCUCCCUGUUAAGCAACAGUGAACCUACCGGUGCAUGGACUUGGGAGUCAAAUAUCCCACUUCCCCUGCCCCGCUUCAGCAAAUGGGAACCAGAGAUCUGAGCAUCUCUUGGGAGGUUGACCAUAUGCAAUAUAGCAAAUAAGGGGGAUUUCCUUCUACCAUCUUUUUGAAGGCAAAUAUUUUUUUUGCUUUAUUCUGAUUAAUGGUACUGUUCUAUUCAAUAUUCUGUUUUGAUAAAUUCUACAAUGUUCUGUACUUCAUUUUGCUAUACAUGAUUGAAAGAACAACUACUAUUGUGAAGAUAACGAGAUAUACUGUGAUACCUAUGACUGUUAUCCCAAUAACCUGCUGUGAAGUUCUGUACCAAUUUCACUACACUGUCUCAACUGGCUUUGUUCUGUCUUGUUCUGUUGUAUUUUACUACCUUCAAAAUAAUAAAUAAAAUUUUAAAAAAGCAAAAAACAAAAAUAAA